Molecule: non-coding RNA, 808 nt
Organism: Oryctolagus cuniculus (rabbit)
Lineage: Eukaryota; Metazoa; Chordata; Mammalia; Lagomorpha; Leporidae
Source: RefSeq, a predicted model, not a curated record
GGCUGAGCUGGACUGGUUUGAGCACGGCCAAACUGGACUGCAAUAAAUGGGCUGGGGUGGCCUUGCUGAGCUGAGCUAAGCAGGGCUAAGCUGCCUGGUCUGAAGUAGACUGAGCUGACUUUGGCUUGGAUGGGCUGAGCUGGCUGUGUUGGUCUGAAUUGAGCUGAACUGAGCUGGGCAGAGAUGACCUGGACUGAGAUCCCGUGAACACUAGACCCAUCCUCAUCCCACUACCCUGCCCCAUACUUGGACCCGGAGAGCCCGUGGUCAUCGGCUGCCUGAUCCGGGGCUUCUUCCCCCUGGGCCCUCUGAGUGUGACAUGGAACACCAGCGGGGAGAACCUGACCUUCCCACCUGUCCAGUCUGCCACCUCGAGCCUGUACACCACGUGCAGCCUGCUGAGGCUACCAGCUGAGCAGUGUCCUGAAGAAAAUAGUGUGGCCUGCCAUGUGGAGCACAACUACGACAAGGGCCAGGAUGUGACCGUGCCCAGCCCCCCAGAAUGCCAACCGCCAACUCCAGGUCCUUCAGAUACAACCACCUGCCCCUGUCCCUGCCCUUCCCCAUCCUGUGGGGAGCCCAGCCUGUCCCUGCAGCGGCCAGACCUCAGGGACCUGCUCCUGAACUCGAACGCCAGCCUCACCUGCACCCUGAGAGGCCUGAAGAACCCCGAGGGCGCCGUCUUCACCUGGGAGCCCACAAACGGGAACAAACCCGUCCAGCAGAGCGUCCAGAGUUACCCGUGCGGCUGCUACAGUGUGUCCAGCGUGCUGCCCGGCUGUGCGGAGCCCUGGAAUGCGGGGACAGA